This 96-nucleotide Y RNA is filed under the name Cavia aperea (Brazilian guinea pig). RNAcentral's name for it is "Y RNA (ENSCAPG00000003566.1)". It matches the Rfam family "Y RNA". From Rfam's summary of the family: Y RNAs are components of the Ro ribonucleoprotein particle (Ro RNP), in association with Ro60 and La proteins. The Y RNAs and Ro60 and La proteins are well conserved, but the function of the Ro RNP is not known. The record is from RNAcentral. Lineage: Eukaryota; Metazoa; Chordata; Mammalia; Rodentia; Caviidae.
GGCUGGUCCGAUGGCAGUGGGUUAUCAGAACUUAUUAACAUUAGUGUCACUAAAGUUGGUAUACCACCCCCCACUGCUAAAUUUGACUGGCCUAAA